UCGCAACGAGAAGGGGAAGAGGGGCAGACCAGAGGAACGGCCACGAACGAUAGCACAUCAAUGUCGACGAGACCGACAGGGGCAAAACGAUGCCCAACCGACGUAAAAACGAGAUGGCCCGAACGAAACGCGUAAUCGACGGGCGGCCAAACGCGUAAUCGACGGGCGGCCAAACGCGUAAUCGACGUACAACACACAGGGAUGGGGGAAUAGUCAUAACACCC
Non-coding RNA from Paramuricea clavata, 224 nucleotides. The record is from the annotation of a GenBank genome assembly. Lineage: Eukaryota; Metazoa; Cnidaria; Anthozoa; Malacalcyonacea; Plexauridae.